GCCAGGCAUGGUGGUGCAUGCCUGUAGCCCCAGCUACUUGGGAGGCUGAGGUGGGAGGAUUGCUUGAGCCCCAGGAGGUUGAGACUGCAGUGAGCUGUGAUUGUGCCACUGCACUCCAGCCUGGGCAACAGAGCAAGACCUUAUCUCCG
Molecule: non-coding RNA, 149 nt
Filed under: Pan troglodytes (chimpanzee)
Lineage: Eukaryota; Metazoa; Chordata; Mammalia; Primates; Hominidae
Source: Rfam by way of RNAcentral